Molecule: non-coding RNA, 74 nt
Organism: Ornithorhynchus anatinus (platypus)
Lineage: Eukaryota; Metazoa; Chordata; Mammalia; Monotremata; Ornithorhynchidae
Source: Rfam
UGGCGUUUCGAGGUCACAUGUGGUGCAGCAUGAUUCAGGAACAUGCCGCGCAGCAUGUGACCUUCCUACACCGU